RNAcentral lists this ribosomal RNA (1347 nucleotides) under uncultured bacterium. RNAcentral's name for it is "bacterial SSU rRNA". It matches the Rfam family "Bacterial small subunit ribosomal RNA", at positions 28 to 1381 of the family's 1533-position model. The record is from RNAcentral.
GACGAACGCUGGCGGCGUGCUUAACACAUGCAAGUCGAACGAUGAAGCCUAGCUUGCUAGGUGGAUUAGUGGCGAACGGGUGAGUAAUACGUGAGUAACCUACCUUUAACUCUGGGAUAAGCCUGGGAAACUGGGUCUAAUACCGGAUACGACCAAUCUCCGCAUGGGGUGUUGGUGGAAAGCGUUAUGUAGUGGUUAUAGAUGGGCUCACGGCCUAUCAGCUUGUUGGUGAGGUAACGGCUCACCAAGGCGACGACGGGUAGCCGGCCUGAGAGGGUGACCGGCCACACUGGGACUGAGACACGGCCCAGACUCCUACGGGAGGCAGCAGUGGGGAAUAUUGCACAAUGGGCGCAAGCCUGAUGCAGCGACGCCGCGUGAGGGAUGACGGCCUUCGGGUUGUAAACCUCUGUUAGCAGGGAAGAAGAGAAAUUGACGGUACCUGCAGAGAAAGCGCCGGCUAACUACGUGCCAGCAGCCGCGGUAAUACGUAGGGCGCGAGCGUUGUCCGGAAUUAUUGGGCGUAAAGAGCUUGUAGGCGGUUUGUCGCGUCUGCUGUGAAGGCCGGGGCUUAACCCCGUGUAUUGCAGUGGGUACGGGCAGACUAGAGUGCAGUAGGGGAGACUGGAAUUCCUGGUGUAGCGGUGGAAUGCGCAGAUAUCAGGAGGAACACCGAUGGCGAAGGCAGGUCUCUGGGCUGUAACUGACGCUGAGAAGCGAAAGCAUGGGGAGCGAACAGGAUUAGAUACCCUGGUAGUCCAUGCCGUAAACGUUGGGCACUGGGUGUGGGGGACAUUCCACGUUUUCCGCGCCGUAGCUAACGCAUUAAGUGCCCCGCCUGGGGAGUACGGCCGCAAGGCUAAAACUCAAAGAAAUUGACGGGGGCCCGCACAAGCGGCGGAGCAUGCGGAUUAAUUCGAUGCAACGCGAAGAACCUUACCAAGGCUUGACAUAUACUGGACCGCAUCAGAGAUGGUGUUUCCCUUCGGGGCUGGUAUACAGGUGGUGCAUGGUUGUCGUCAGCUCGUGUCGUGAGAUGUUGGGUUAAGUCCCGCAACGAGCGCAACCCUCGUUCUAUGUUGCCAGCACGUUAUGGUGGGGACUCAUAGGAGACUGCCGGGGUCAACUCGGAGGAAGGUGGGGAUGACGUCAAAUCAUCAUGCCCCUUAUGUCUUGNGCUUCACGCAUGCUACAAUGGCCGGUACAGAGGGUUGCGAUACUGUGAGGUGGAGCUAAUCCCUAAAAGCCGGUCUCAGUUCGGAUUGGGGUCUGCAACUCGACCCCAUGAAGUCGGAGUCGCUAGUAAUCGCAGAUCAGCAACGCUGCGGUGAAUACGUUUCCGGGGCU